GGUUAAGCGACUAAGCGUACACGGUGGAUGCCCUGGCAGUCAGAGGCGAUGAAGGACGUGCUAAUCUGCGAUAAGCGUCGGUAAGGUGAUAUGAACCGUUAUAACCGGCGAUUUCCGAAUGGGGAAACCCAGUGUGUUUCGACACACUAUCAUUAACUGAAUCCAUAGGUUAAUGAGGCGAACCGGGGGAACUGAAACAUCUAAGUACCCCGAGGAAAAGAAAUCAACCGAGAUUCCCCCAGUAGCGGCGAGCGAACGGGGAGCAGCCCAGAGNUGUGAGCUCGAUGAGUAGGGCGGGACACGUGGUAUCCUGUCUGAAUAUGGGGGGACCAUCCUCCAAGGCUAAAUACUCCUGACUGACCGAUAGUGAACCAGUACCGUGAGGGAAAGGCGAAAAGAACCCCGGCGAGGGGAGUGAAAAAGAACCUGAAACCGUGUACGUACAAGCAGUGGAAGCCUCUUUUAUGGGGUGACUGCGUACCUUUUGUAUAAUGGGUCAGCGACUUAUAUUCUGUAGCAAGGUUAACCGAAUAGGGGAGCCGAAGGGAAACCGAGUCUUAACUGGGCGUUAAGUUGCAGGGUAUAGACCCGAAACCCGGUGAUCUAGCCAUGGGCAGGUUGAAGGUUGGGUAACACUAACUGGAGGACCGAACCGACUAAUGUUGAAAAAUUAGCGGAUGACUUGUGGCUGGGGGUGAAAGGCCAAUCAAACCGGGAGAUAGCUGGUUCUCCCCGAAAGCUAUUUAGGUAGCGCCUCGUGAAUUCAUCUCCGGGGGUAGAGCACUGUUUCGGCAAGGGGGUCAUCCCGACUUACCAACCCGAUGCAAACUGCGAAUACCGGAGAAUGUUAUCACGGGAGACACACGGCGGGUGCUAACGUCCGUCGUGAAGAGGGAAACAACCCAGACCGCCAGCUAAGGUCCCAAAGUCAUGGUUAAGUGGGAAACGAUGUGGGAAGGCCCAGACAGCCAGGAUGUUGGCUUAGAAGCAGCCAUCAUUUAAAGAAAGCGUAAUAGCUCACUGGUCGAGUCGGCCUGCGCGGAAGAUGUAACGGGGCUAAACCAUGCACCGAAGCUGCGGCAGCGACGCUUAUGCGUUGUUGGGUAGGGGAGCGUUCUGUAAGCCUGUGAAGGUGUGCUGUGAGGCAUGCUGGAGGUAUCAGAAGUGCGAAUGCUGACAUAAGUAACGAUAAAGCGGGUGAAAAGCCCGCUCGCCGGAAGACCAAGGGUUCCUGUCCAACGUUAAUCGGGGCAGGGUGAGUCGACCCCUAAGGCGAGGCCGAAAGGCGUAGUCGAUGGGAAACAGGUUAAUAUUCCUGUACUUGGUGUUACUGCGAAGGGGGGACGGAGAAGGCUAUGUUGGCCGGGCGACGGUUGUCCCGGUUUAAGCGUGUAGGCUGGUUUUCCAGGCAAAUCCGGAAAAUCAAGGCUGAGGCGUGAUGACGAGGCACUACGGUGCUGAAGCAACAAAUGCCCUGCUUCCAGGAAAAGCCUCUAAGCAUCAGGUAACAUCAAAUCGUACCCCAAACCGACACAGGUGGUCAGGUAGAGAAUACCAAGGCGCUUGAGAGAACUCGGGUGAAGGAACUAGGCAAAAUGGUGCCGUAACUUCGGGAGAAGGCACGCUGAUAUGUAGGUGAAGCGACUUGCUCGUGGAGCUGAAAUCAGUCGAAGAUACCAGCUGGCUGCAACUGUUUAUUAAAAACACAGCACUGUGCAAACACGAAAGUGGACGUAUACGGUGUGACGCCUGCCCGGUGCCGGAAGGUUAAUUGAUGGGGUCAGCGCAAGCGAAGCUCUUGAUCGAAGCCCCGGUAAACGGCGGCCGUAACUAUAACGGUCCUAAGGUAGCGAAAUUCCUUGUCGGGUAAGUUCCGACCUGCACGAAUGGCGUAAUGAUGGCCAGGCUGUCUCCACCCGAGACUCAGUGAAAUUGAACUCGCUGUGAAGAUGCAGUGUACCCGCGGCAAGACGGAAAGACCCCGUGAACCUUUACUAUAGCUUGACACUGAACAUUGAGCCUUGAUGUGUAGGAUAGGUGGGAGGCUUUGAAGUGUGGACGCCAGUCUGCAUGGAGCCGACCUUGAAAUACCACCCUUUAAUGUUUGAUGUUCUAACGUUGACCCCUAAUCGGGGUUGCGGACAGUGUCUGGUGGGUAGUUUGACUGGGGCGGUCUCCUCCUAAAGAGUAACGGAGGAGCACGAAGGUUGGCUAAUCCUGGUCGGACAUCAGGAGGUUAGUGCAAUGGCAUAAGCCAGCUUGACUGCGAGCGUGACGGCGCGAGCAGGUGCGAAAGCAGGUCAUAGUGAUCCGGUGGUUCUGAAUGGAAGGGCCAUCGCUCAACGGAUAAAAGGUACUCCGGGGAUAACAGGCUGAUACCGCCCAAGAGUUCAUAUCGACGGCGGUGUUUGGCACCUCGAUGUCGGCUCAUCACAUCCUGGGGCUGAAGUAGGUCCCAAGGGUAUGGCUGUUCGCCAUUUAAAGUGGUACGCGAGCUGGGUUUAGAACGUCGUGAGACAGUUCGGUCCCUAUCUGCCGUGGGCGCUGGAGAACUGAGGGGGGCUGCUCCUAGUACGAGAGGACCGGAGUGGACGCAUCACUGGUGUUCGGGUUGUCAUGCCAAUGGCACUGCCCGGUAGCUAAAUGCGGAAGAGAUAAGUGCUGAAAGCAUCUAAGCACGAAACUUGCCCCGAGAUGAGUUCUCCCUGACCCUUUAAGGGUCCUGAAGGAACGUUGAAGACGACGACGUUGAUAGGCCGGGUGUGUAAGCGCAGCGAUGCGUUGAGCUAACCGGUACUAAUGAACCGUGAGGCUUAACCUU
Molecule: ribosomal RNA, 2821 nt
Filed under: Escherichia coli
Lineage: Bacteria; Pseudomonadati; Pseudomonadota; Gammaproteobacteria; Enterobacterales; Enterobacteriaceae
Description: 23S ribosomal RNA
Rfam family: Bacterial large subunit ribosomal RNA
Source: RNAcentral